GGCACCGUCGUCUAACAGUAGGAUGCUGGAUUUUCAAUCCAGAAGAUGCGGGUGCAACUCCCGUCGGUGUCA
RNAcentral lists this transfer RNA (72 nucleotides) under Gemmatimonadales bacterium. RNAcentral describes it as "tRNA-Glu". It matches the Rfam family "tRNA". From Rfam's summary of the family: Transfer RNA (tRNA) molecules are approximately 80 nucleotides in length. Their secondary structure includes four short double-helical elements and three loops (D, anti-codon, and T loops). Lineage: Bacteria; Pseudomonadati; Gemmatimonadota; Gemmatimonadia; Gemmatimonadales. The record is from RNAcentral.